Molecule: long non-coding RNA, 1194 nt
Organism: Salvelinus fontinalis (brook trout)
Lineage: Eukaryota; Metazoa; Chordata; Actinopteri; Salmoniformes; Salmonidae
Exons: 4
Source: RefSeq, a predicted model, not a curated record
GUCUGUUAUUGUGAAAAGAAAAUGAACCAAUAAAGAUACAACUUUUGUAUAGUUACCACAUCCGGGUCUUUUGCGUCCUUAGAUACCAGUCCAAAAUAAAAAAAAACAGUACCACGCCUGCCUCAUCAGCUGCUAUCAGAGCGUCAAGGGCAAGGCAUCGAUGGAUAUUAUGAGAGGCAGUUUAGAUUAAAUCUCCCGCCCGGCAUCCAGCGAGAGUUCUCGGCCUGGCGGCAGCCAUGUGUCAGCUGUGUCACUGCCUGAAGUCGGGAGAGUUUGUCACCCCAGCCCAACGUCCCUGGUGGUCCUGAGCGAUGAUGUCCCCAACAAUAAGCAGGACCAUGCGGACGCCUCAGAGCAGGUGGGUAGGCUGUUUUCCAGUUUCAGCCAGCUGGAUUUAGGACCGCACUGACACCACAGAGGGGUGCAGACAGGCUUUGUGAAGGCAAAGCUUCUGAAAGUCUGGCGUAUAGUACCAGCACGGGAGAGAUGAAUAGAGGCAGCUGCUGCUGUCUGUGUUGCGCUUUUUCUUCGAGUUGUAAAAACAAGCAGAGCAGAAACGGACUACUCUUUAGUUGACUGGUCUAGAUGGCAAGCUGUAUGUGACCCUGGCGGAAAAAAACUUAUCAAGCCAAACCAAAUUGUUGUCACCAUAUUAGGUAAAGUAACGUCAUAGUGUAAUAAAUACCAUUUAAAAUAACACAAGCAUAUUGCUAUUACAUUGUUAUAACUAACUUCUUUCUAAGCAGGGUUUCUCACACACCCAAAGACAGAUGGCUGGCACAGACCUUUCAUAAACACUGAUAAGGAAAGGCCUUGAUCAAAAGAGUGCUUGGGUCCGCAUUUCACGAGAUAAUAAGACACACACACACAUACCCAAGGACGGAGGGCUGACUACGCACACACAAAAUCUCCUGUUUAGCUGAACAUUUGAUAACAAAGAACUUUUGCUAUAAGACUCAGAAGGAUGACGCCCAGCUCAUCAGGACCAAUCUGAGAAGACAACAACCUGUCCAGAACCAACCAAAGGACCAGAACUUCCAGACUCAACCUACUUUCUGUGUUGUAUAAAAUGUCUAUGCAUUCUGUUAUCUGGGCUUUUUCUGGAGAUUCUCUAUGAGCCGAAGGAACGAGACCGUAUACGCUUGUACCAGAUAUCUUUACUCAUAAUUAAACUGUCGCUUGUCAUACAAUUUA